AUCUCUGUAGAGUCUGCAUAUCAAUAACGGAGGAAAAGAAACUAACUAGGAUUCCCUUCAGUAACGGCGAGUGAAGCGGGAAGAGCUCAAAUUUGAAAUCUUCAAGGUUUUACCUUGACGAAUUGUAGUUUAAAGAAGUGUUUUCUGUUGGUGUUUUGGUAAAAGUUCUUUGGAAUAGGACAUCAUAGAGGGUGAGAAUCCCGUAUUUGACCAUUACUUCCAGCGUUGUGAUACACUUUCAAAGAGUCGGAUUGUUUGGGAAUGCAGCCCAAAAUGGGUGGUAAAUUUCAUCUAAAGCUAAAUAUUGGCGAGAGACCGAUAGCGAACAAGUACCGUGAGGGAAAGAUGAAAAGAACUUUGAAAAGAGAGUUAAACAGUACGUGAAAUUGUCAAAAGGGAAGCGUUUGACACCAGUGUUGUUUUCUCGAAAAUCAAUUAAAAAAAGUUGGAUUUUGUAUUGUUAAGACCUUAUCAGCUUACUGUACUCUUUUUUUGCUUUUUUUAAUGCACUUUUCGUUUAACAAGUCAACAUCAAUUUCUUUUGUUGUAAAAGAGUCAUUGGAAGGUGGCUUUCACUUCGGUGAAAGUGUUUAUAGCCUUUGGCUUCUGCGAUCGGAGAGAUUGAGGUCUGCAGCGUAGAUCCUUCGGGGCUAGAUACGUAGAUGCUAAGUUAUAGUUUUUUAUAGACAACUUGUUGACUAUAAUUAAUCAUGUAGCUUACUCGUUUGCGCUAUUUUACCUACGCUUAGGAUGUUGACGAUCAGCUGAGCGCG
Molecule: ribosomal RNA, 773 nt
Filed under: uncultured Neocallimastigales
Lineage: Eukaryota; Fungi; Neocallimastigomycota; Neocallimastigomycetes; Neocallimastigales
Description: partial large subunit ribosomal RNA
Rfam family: Eukaryotic large subunit ribosomal RNA
Source: RNAcentral